CGAGUCCGAGGAGCUAAGGCUCCAAAGUGAUGCGAGUCAGACUUCCCAGAAAAGCCCGAACCACGUUAAUUUCUAAUUACCUGUACCCGAAACCGACACAGGUGGGUAGGUAGAGUAUACUAAGGGGCGCGAGAUAACUCUCUCUAAGGAACUCGGCAAAAUGACUCCGUAACUUCGGGAGAAGGAGUGCCUUAUUUAUAAGGUUGCAAUAACAAGAUCCAAGCAACUGUUUAUCAAAAACACAGGUCUCCGCUAAGUCGUAAGACGAUGUAUGGGGGCUGACGCCUGCCCAGUGCCAGAAGGUUAAAGAAGUUGGUUAGUGUAUGCGAAGCUGAUGACUGAAGCCCUGGUGAACGGCGGCCGUAACUAUAACGGUCCUAAGGUAGCGAAAUUCCUUGUCGGGUAAGUUCCGACCCGCACGAAAGGCGUAAUGAUUUGGAUACUGUCUCGGAGAGAGGCUCGGUGAAAUAGACUUGUCUGUGAAGAUGCGGACUACCUGCACCAGGACAGAAAGACCCUAUGAAGCUUUACUGUAACUUGAAAUUGGAAUUGGACUUUGCUUGCGCAGUAUAGGUGGGAAGCGUUGAAGAUAUUCUUGCGGGAGUAUUGGAGCUAUCAGUGAGAUACCACUCUUGUAAUGUUAGAUUUCUAACUUUGAACCAUAAUCUGGUCAAAGAACAGUUUCAGGUGGGCAGUUUGACUGGGGCGGUCGCCUCCCAAAUGGUAACGGAGGCGUACAAAGGUUUCCUCUGAACGGAUAGAAAUCGUAUCUAGAGUGUAAAGGCAUAAGGAAGCUUGACUGUGAGACCUACAAGUCGAGCAGGGACGAAAGUCGGUCUUAGUGAUCUGACGGUACUGAGUGGAAAGGCCGUCACUCAACGGAUAAAAGUUACUCUAAGGAUAACAGGCUGAUCUCCCCCAAGAGUUCACAUCGACGGGGAGGUUUGGCACCUCGAUGUCGGCUCAUCGCAUCCUGGGGCGGUAGUACGUCCCAAGGGUUGGGCUGUUCGCCCAUGAAAGCGGUACGCGAGCUGGGUUCAGAACGUCGUGAGACAGUUCGGUCCAUAUCCGGUGUAGGCGUUAGAAUAUUGAGAGGAGCCUUCUUUAGUACGAGAGGACCGAGAAGGACACACCGCUGGUGUACCAGUUAUCGUGCCAACGGUAAACGCUGGGUAGCUAUGUGUGGAGUGGAUAACCGCUGAAAGCAUCUAAGUGGGAAGCCCACCUCAAGAUGAGUAUUCUCACAGGGUUAGCCUGGUAAGGUCACGGGAAGACCACCCGUUGAUAGGCACUCGGUGGAAGUCCAGCAAUGGAUGAAGCC
RNAcentral lists this ribosomal RNA (1321 nucleotides) under metagenome. Its description in RNAcentral is "bacterial LSU rRNA". It matches the Rfam family "Bacterial large subunit ribosomal RNA", at positions 1564 to 2892 of the family's 2925-position model. The record is from RNAcentral.